This 497-nucleotide ribosomal RNA is filed under the name uncultured bacterium. RNAcentral describes it as "partial 16S ribosomal RNA". It matches the Rfam family "Bacterial small subunit ribosomal RNA", at positions 28 to 507 of the family's 1533-position model. The record is from RNAcentral.
GAUGAACGCUGGCGGCGUGCCUAAUACAUGCGAGUCGAGCGAACGGACGAGAAGCUUGCUUCUCUGAUGUUAGCGGCGGACGGGUGAGUAACACGUGGAUAACCUACCUAUAAGACUGGGAUAACUUCGGGAAACCGGAGCUAAUACCGGAUAAUAUUUUGAACCGCAUGGUUCAAAAGUGAAAGACGGUCUUGCUGUCACUUAUAGAUGGAUCCGCGCUGCAUUAGCUAGUUGGUAAGGUAACGGCUUACCAAGGCAACGAUGCAUAGCCGACCUGAGAGGGUGAUCGGCCACACUGGAGCUGAGACACGGUCCAGACUCCUACGGGAGGCAGCAGUAGGGAAUCUUCCGCAAUGGGCGAAAGCCUGACGGAGCAACGCCGCGUGAGUGAUGAAGGUCUUCGGAUCGUAAAACUCUGUUAUUAGGGAAGAACAUAUGUGUAAGUAACUGUGCACAUCUUGACGGUACCUAAUCAGAAAGCCACGGCUAACUACGUG